RNAcentral lists this ribosomal RNA (668 nucleotides) under uncultured Lachnospiraceae bacterium. Its description in RNAcentral is "bacterial SSU rRNA". It matches the Rfam family "Bacterial small subunit ribosomal RNA", at positions 65 to 739 of the family's 1533-position model. Lineage: Bacteria; Bacillati; Bacillota; Clostridia; Lachnospirales; Lachnospiraceae. The record is from RNAcentral.
AGCACCUUUUGAGAUUCUUCGGAUGAUCGAUUGGUGACUGAGUGGCGGACGGGUGAGUAACGCGUGGGUAACCUGCCCUGUACAGGGGGAUAACAGCUGGAAACGGCUGCUAAUACCGCAUAAGCGCACGAGGAGACAUCUCCUUGUGUGAAAAACUCCGGUGGUACAGGAUGGGCCCGCGUCUGAUUAGCUGGUUGGCAGGAUAACGGCCUACCAAGGCAACGAUCAGUAGCCGGUCUGAGAGGAUGAACGGCCACAUUGGAACUGAGACACGGUCCAAACUCCUACGGGAGGCAGCAGUGGGGAAUAUUGCACAAUGGGGGAAACCCUGAUGCAGCAACGCCGCGUGAGUGAAGAAGUAUUUCGGUAUGUAAAGCUCUAUCAGCAGGGAAGAUAAUGACGGUACCUGACUAAGAAGCUCCGGCUAAAUACGUGCCAGCAGCCGCGGUAAUACGUAUGGAGCAAGCGUUAUCCGGAUUUACUGGGUGUAAAGGGUGCGUAGGUGGCAGUGCAAGUCAGAUGUGAAAGGCCNGGGGCUCAACCCCGGAGCUGCAUUUGAAACUGCUCGGCUAGAGUACAGGAGAGGCAGGCGGAAUUCCUAGUGUAGCGGUGAAAUGCGUAGAUAUUAGGAGGAACACCAGUGGCGAAGGCGGCCUGCUGGACUGUUA